AUCUUGUAUACAGUAUGUGAUAUUAUGUUUGUUCUAUAUCUAGUUGUUUAUAAUUUCUCUAAUAUAUAAUCAAUGUUAGUUUAUAUCUUUCUACGUGAUAAUUGAAUAAGCUGAGUGAUAGCUAUGGUGAUUAUUACUUUAUAAUCAGCAAACAAGCUUGUUAGUUAUUUUUCUUCAAAAUAAAUUUUAUAUUUUUAAAAAUUCCAAAUAAUUAAAAUUUUUCUCUAUAUAUAAAUAUUUCUUUGACAUGAAGUUUUAAAGUAUUAGUGGCAAUAAUUUUUUUUUUUCACAUCCUAGGAUUGAAAAAAAUCAUCAAACUUAUGAUCAGCUGAAGUCCAUCUAAUUCAUCUGAUUAUCUUAGCCAGGAGACUUCAACCUACAGAUUAUCAAUUAUCAUGCUGGUCAGCACAAGUACUUCAUGAAUGAUAUUUAGCAAUUUGUGACCAUUCUUUAUUGUUUUCUUUCCAUUGACUGCUUAUAUAUAUAACCUAUACUAUAAUUAUCUCACUUAAUUACUAAAGUUGGAUAUACAGUUAGAUAUUUAUACAUAUGAGAGAAUUCAUUUCCUUAUUAGAGGCAAUCAGAUGUCAGAAUUAUAACUAAAAUCAGGUGAAGUCUAAUGCUAUUUAAUAAAAAACUGACUAGAAAUGUUUUACCUCUGACUCAUGAUUAAUGAGUGAAAAAUUUCGCAGUUCACAUUUGCUUCACUAAUAAUUUAUCACAUUAAACCCAACUACUACAAUAAGAUUAGGAAAGAAAUUUGAACAAUAUAAAAAUAUCCAUUGAUUAUAUAAAUCAGGACUAUAAGUCAAUAUAAUACUGUAUGUACUGUCAGUUGCACACUCCAAAAGUUUUUCCAGGAAGACUCAAGCCAGGCUGACUGAUUCCUAUUUUUUUCCCAUUCUCUCUCUUUCAUCAGAGGUAUGGGUGACUCAUGGACAUUGGAAUGUGUCUGUAAGAAUAGAUAAUAUAUCAUUGAUAAAAUUAUAAAUAGUAAUGAAAAAAAUUAAAUCACAAGAUUUUAGAUUAACUGCUAUGUAUUUUUUGCAUCAUGUUUGGUAGACUAGUGCAAUUCUCAGGAAUUCUUUUGCAUCAUGUUGAUAUUACACAGAAAGGAAUAAAUUGCUCAAAAGAAUGUAUUCCUUGUCUCUUUUGCAAAAAAGAAAAACAUCAAAGUGUUAUAUUUAGUUUGGAUUCAGAUACAGGCAUUGAAAAAUUACAGGUUCACUUCAGGCAAACAGAUGGUUUAAGUAUGAAUUGGCAGUGCUGUUACAUAAAAUAGAAAUAAUAUGCUAAGUUAAAAAAAAUAAAUAUAUCAAGAAGAAAAUUGGGUACAACUGCAUAUAUUGCAAAAUCCAGCAAAAAUGGUACUGAUCAAUAGGAGGGGUCAAGACACACAAAAUAUCCUUA
RNAcentral lists this long non-coding RNA (1410 nucleotides) under Androctonus crassicauda. The record is from RNAcentral. Lineage: Eukaryota; Metazoa; Arthropoda; Arachnida; Scorpiones; Buthidae.